Molecule: transfer RNA, 76 nt
Filed under: Gefionella okellyi
Lineage: Eukaryota; Malawimonada; Malawimonadea; Malawimonadida; Malawimonadidae
Description: tRNA-Tyr
Rfam family: tRNA
About the family: Transfer RNA (tRNA) molecules are approximately 80 nucleotides in length. Their secondary structure includes four short double-helical elements and three loops (D, anti-codon, and T loops).
Source: RNAcentral
AAAGUGAUGACCGAGUGGUUUAUGGUAACGAAUUGUAAAUUCGUCAAAAUCGCUGGUUCAAAUCCAGCUCACUUUA